Molecule: small nuclear RNA, 109 nt
Filed under: Fukomys damarensis (Damara mole-rat)
Lineage: Eukaryota; Metazoa; Chordata; Mammalia; Rodentia; Bathyergidae
Description: U2 spliceosomal RNA
Rfam family: U2 spliceosomal RNA
About the family: U2 is a small nuclear RNA (snRNA) component of the spliceosome (involved in pre-mRNA splicing). Complementary binding between U2 snRNA (in an area lying towards the 5' end but 3' to hairpin I) and the branchpoint sequence (BPS) of the intron results the bulging out of an unpaired adenosine, on the BPS, which initiates a nucleophilic attack at the intronic 5' splice site, thus starting the first of two transesterification reactions that mediate splicing.
Source: Rfam by way of RNAcentral
AUCGCUUCUCGGCCUUUUGGCUAAGAUCAAGUGUAAAAACUGUUUUCACUUUAUUUAAUGAAUGUGAAAAUUGUACUUUUGUUUAGUUGAAAAUAUUUAAAAAUUUCUC